Molecule: long non-coding RNA, 1301 nt
Organism: Medicago truncatula (barrel medic)
Lineage: Eukaryota; Viridiplantae; Streptophyta; Magnoliopsida; Fabales; Fabaceae
Exons: 2
Source: RefSeq, a predicted model, not a curated record
UGUUAUUGCAUCGAUUGUACCGAUCUGGGUCGUGCUUAUUUCUUUUUAAUUUUUAAUUUAUUUGUGUUUUCAAAUUUCAUUGAAUGAGUUACCAUACGGGCACGCAGACACGGCAUCCAUAUAUAUUAUAAUUUGAGAGAAUGACAUAAUUCAACGGAAUCAUAGUUCACAUGUGUCAGUGUCGUAUUGGUGUCUGGCACUGGCCCAUGUCGGACACACCUUCCAUCAGAAGUGUUGGUGUUACUGAGGUUUCCGUCCAUGAUGAUUUGAUUUUAAAAUUUAAGCACAGCUUAAAUGGGUGGCCUUAUUGAUGAUGCAAGUGUUGGUAGAAAUAUUAAUUGGUUAGGCUUUAAAUGAUUCAAUUAUUGAUCUGUUAGUUAAUAAUCAUAAGCUUGACUGCUAGAAUAUUAAUUAUUUUGAAGAUAAUGUCCUGUUUUGUUGCAUUUUGCUCUUAUUUGGCUUUGUGUGUCAGUUUGCCAACUAAAGGUUUGUACUUUAGCAUUUCAGCCCAUAAUUACUUUUUGAAUAAUAUAUGUAUAGGCAUGCUUCUGUUGUUGGCUUGUUGCCCUGGUGGGACAUUUGAUCAGAGCAACUUGUUCAGCUAUCUUAUUUAGAUAUACCUUUUUUUGUCUUCAUUUAUUGUGAUUUAUGAUAAUCUCUUAUGCAUCUUUUCACUGUAUAAUUGAAAUUAAUCAUCAAUUAAACGAUACAUAAACGGUUUCUUUCUGGUUUCCUAUCCGGUGUUGGGGCCACUAUCCAAAGUCAUUAGAAUGAAACAUUUGUAUUUUUCAACCUUUGCUAGGGCUGGAAUUGGAUUAAUUGUGGCAUUUGAGUUGUAAUUGGUCCAACUUGCAAAUCCAAACCAACUUGCUGAUCAUUAUGCCUCCAAACAUCCGAAGGAGAAACCUCCUGCAGAGUCAAGCUAGUGAUCCUUGGAGCAAAUAGUACAAAAGUUCCCAAAGAAAAUUUGCUCAGUGUCUCUAUGUUUCUGCUUCCAAGCCAGAUUGCACCAUGUUUAGUAUUUUUUUUUCAAAUGUGCAUUACUGUAAGAUGCUUCUGUCAUUAUGAGAAUAUUAUCCGGUUGUAUCAGUGCGCAGGCCAACUUAAGGAAGUCUGCUACAUUACAUGAAGUAACAUCCCUUUGCACUGCCUCCUAAAAUGUGAGGCUCCUUCGUAUAAAUAACAAUAAGGAACUGCAAAAUGAAAAUAUUAUGGUUAUGCUAAAAAGGUGGAAUGUUCAUUUCUUUUGUUGUUGUAAUUCAUUAAUAGGCAUUAAGGUUGUUUAAAUCUUUUUCCCCUCA